Molecule: ribosomal RNA, 253 nt
Filed under: uncultured bacterium
Lineage: Bacteria
Description: partial 16S ribosomal RNA
Rfam family: Bacterial small subunit ribosomal RNA
Source: RNAcentral
GACGAGGGAUCCUAGCGUUGUUCGGAAUCAUUGGGCGUAAAGCGGGUGUAGGCGGAUUUGUAAGUCAGAUGUGGAAUCCCAGGGCUCAACCCUGGAAGUGCAUUUGAUACUGCAGAUCUUGAAUGUGGUAGAGGUUACUGGAAUUGUUGGUGUAGUGGUGAAAUACGUAGAUAUCAACAGGAAUACCGGAGGCGAAGGCGAGUAACUGGGCCAACAUUGACGCUGAGACCCGAAAGCGUGGGGAUCAAACAGG